This 77-nucleotide transfer RNA is filed under the name Methylobacterium aquaticum. RNAcentral's name for it is "tRNA-Met". It matches the Rfam family "tRNA". From Rfam's summary of the family: Transfer RNA (tRNA) molecules are approximately 80 nucleotides in length. Their secondary structure includes four short double-helical elements and three loops (D, anti-codon, and T loops). Further hydrogen bonds mediate the characteristic L-shaped molecular structure. tRNAs have two regions of fundamental functional importance: the anti-codon, which is responsible for specific mRNA codon recognition, and the 3' end, to which the tRNAs corresponding amino acid is attached (by aminoacyl-tRNA synthetases). tRNAs cope with the degeneracy of the genetic code in two manners: having more than one tRNA (with a specific anti-codon) for a particular amino acid; and 'wobble' base-pairing, i.e. permitting non-standard base-pairing at the 3rd anti-codon position. Lineage: Bacteria; Pseudomonadati; Pseudomonadota; Alphaproteobacteria; Hyphomicrobiales; Methylobacteriaceae. The record is from RNAcentral.
CGCGGGGUAGCUCAGUCGGGUAGAGCGUGGGGCUCAUAACCCUGUGGUCGCCGGUUCAAAUCCGGCCCCCGCACCCA